Ribosomal RNA from Aquila chrysaetos chrysaetos, 119 nucleotides. Lineage: Eukaryota; Metazoa; Chordata; Aves; Accipitriformes; Accipitridae. The record is from Ensembl.
GCCUACGGCCAUACCACCCUGAGAACACCCGAUCUCGUCUGAUCUCGGAAGCUAAGCAGGGUCGGGCCCGGUUAGUACUUGGAUGGGAGACCGCCUGGGAAUACCGGGUGCUGUAGGCU